This 397-nucleotide ribosomal RNA is filed under the name Marinobacter sp. YAR-6. RNAcentral's name for it is "bacterial SSU rRNA". It matches the Rfam family "Bacterial small subunit ribosomal RNA", at positions 302 to 691 of the family's 1533-position model. The record is from RNAcentral. Lineage: Bacteria; Pseudomonadati; Pseudomonadota; Gammaproteobacteria; Pseudomonadales; Marinobacteraceae.
GAUCAGCCACAUCGGGACUGAGACACGGCCCGAACUCCUACGGGAGGCAGCAGUGGGGAAUAUUGGACAAUGGGGGCAACCCUGAUCCAGCCAUGCCGCGUGUGUGAAGAAGGCUUUCGGGUUGUAAAGCACUUUCAGCGAGGAGGAAGGCCUUAAAGUUAAUACCUUUAAGGAUUGACGUUACUCGCAGAAGAAGCACCGGCUAACUCCGUGCCAGCAGCCGCGGUAAUACGGAGGGUGCAAGCGUUAAUCGGAAUUACUGGGCGUAAAGCGCGCGUAGGUGGUUUGGUAAGCGAGAUGUGAAAGCCCCGGGCUUAACCUGGGAACGGCAUUUCGAACUGUCAGACUAGAGUGUGGUAGAGGGUAGUGGAAUUUCCUGUAUAGCGGUGAAAUGCGU